RNAcentral lists this ribosomal RNA (653 nucleotides) under uncultured euryarchaeote. Its description in RNAcentral is "bacterial SSU rRNA". It matches the Rfam family "Archaeal small subunit ribosomal RNA", at positions 79 to 735 of the family's 1478-position model. Lineage: Archaea; Methanobacteriati; Methanobacteriota. The record is from RNAcentral.
CGGCGAACUGCUCCGUAAUAUGCAGUUAACCUACCGUUAGGAAGGGAAUAAUCUCGAGAAAUUGAGGCUAAUGCCCUAUAGGUAUUAUCUGCUGGAAUGCGAUAAUGCUGAAAGCUACGGCACCUAACGAUGGGACUGUAUCCUAUCAGGCUGUUGAUGAUGUAACGAACUAUCAAACCGAUAACGGGUACGGGCUAUGGAAGUAGGAGCCCGGAGAUGGACUCUGAGACAUGAGUCCAGGUUCUACGGAACGCAGCAGGCGCGAAAACUUUGCUAUUCGCUAGCGCGAGACAAGGGAACUUGGAGUGUUCUUGCAUUGCAAGAACUUUUACUUUCUCCAAAAAGGAAAGUGAAUAAGGGGUGGGUAAGACGGGUGCCAGCCGCCGCGGUAAUACCCGCACCCCAAGUGAUGGCCGGUGUUAUUGGGUUUAAAGCGCCCGUAGCCGGUUUAACAAGUCCUUUGUGAAAUCCUUCAGCAAACUGAAGGGUGUGCAAGGGAUACUGUUAGACUUGAGACCGGGAGAAGGUAGGGGUACUCUCAGGGGAGGGGUGAAAUCCUGUAAUCCUGAGGGGACCACCUGUGGCGAAGGCGCCUACCUGGAACGGGUCUGACGGUGAGGGACGAAAGCUAGGGGAGCGAUCGGGAUUAGAUA